RNAcentral lists this ribosomal RNA (253 nucleotides) under uncultured bacterium. RNAcentral's name for it is "partial 16S ribosomal RNA". It matches the Rfam family "Bacterial small subunit ribosomal RNA", at positions 524 to 776 of the family's 1533-position model. The record is from RNAcentral.
UACGUAGGGUGCGAGCGUUAAUCGGAAUUACUGGGCGUAAGGCGUGCGCAGGCGGUUCGUUGUGUCGGCGGUGAAAUCCCCGGGCUCAACCUGGGAAUGGCCGUUGAAACUGGCGAACUGGAGUGUGGCAGAGGGGGGUGGAAUUCCGCGUGUAGCAGUGAAAUGCGUAGAGAUGCGGAGGAACACCGAUGGCGAAGGCAGCCCCCUGGGCUGACACUGACGCUCAGGCACGAAAGCGUGGGGAGCAAACAGG